AGAGUUUGAUCCUGGCUCAGAAUCAACGCUGGCGGCGUGCCUAACACAUGCAAGUCGAACGAGAAAGGGGGAGCAAUCCCCUGAGUACAGUGGCGUACGGGUGAGUAACACGUGACUAACCUGCCUUCGAGUGGGGAAUAACUUCGGGAAACCGAGGCUAAGACCGCAUAACAUCCUUGGGUGAAAUUCCCAUGGAUCAA
This 200-nucleotide ribosomal RNA is filed under the name uncultured bacterium. RNAcentral describes it as "partial 16S ribosomal RNA". It matches the Rfam family "Bacterial small subunit ribosomal RNA", at positions 8 to 204 of the family's 1533-position model. The record is from RNAcentral.